Molecule: ribosomal RNA, 494 nt
Filed under: uncultured bacterium
Lineage: Bacteria
Description: partial 16S ribosomal RNA
Rfam family: Bacterial small subunit ribosomal RNA
Source: RNAcentral
GACGAACGCUGGCGGCGUGCUUAACACAUGCAAGUCGAACGGUGAAGCGCCUUCCUUUUUGGUGGGUGUGGAUGAGUGGCGAACGGGUGAGUAACACGUGAGUACCCUGCCCCCUUCUUCUGGAUAACCGCAUGAAAGUGUGGCUAAUACGGGAUAUUCUGGGUCUGUCGCAUGAUGGGUCUGGGAAAGAUGUUGUUUCGGUGGGGGAUGGGCUCGCGGCCUAUCAGCUUGUUGGUGGGGUGAUGGGCUACCACGGCGGGGAGGUGUAGCCGGCCUGGGAGGGUGGACGGUCACACUGGGACUGAGACACGGUCCGGACUCCUAUGGGAGGCAGCCGUGGGGAAUAUUGCACAGUGGGCGCAAGUGUGAUGCAGCGACGCCGCGUGAGGGAUGGAGGCCUGCGGGUUGUGAACCUCUUUCGCCAGUGAAGCAGGCCUGCCUCGUUUGUGGGUGGGUUGACGGUAGCGGGAUAAGAAGCGCCGGCUAACUACGUG